CCAGUCCCGACAACGAAGUCAACCAUAGCAAUCCGCGAAGUCUACAUCUGCUAGUUCAGCUCCACCUCCUUCCUAUUUUUCUUCUUCCUCCAUUGCUCAGAUCCUAAACUCUAAUACCCAGAAAUCAAUCAGAUCUGUUCGUCUCUCACUUUGUGGACUGCAUGUUGUCGAUCUCCACUCUCAAAACAGAGAUUGUUCACUGUUGAAGAAUUGGCUUUGUAUAAUGGGACUGAUCAAAGUUUGCCAGUCUUGUUAGGAAUUGGGGUCGGUUUUUGAUGUGGUGAAGGGAAAGUCUCAUUACAGUGAGGGUGGGGGUUAUAAUCAUUUUUCUGGAAGGGUAUCACUCUCUUUGCAUCUGUUGCUGCAACUCUUGGACUAAAAUAUUGCUCGAGUCUGCUUGAGAACUGAUCUCAAAGGAGUAGUUUAGAGAGAAGCACAGAAACAUUGCCUCAACAAAUCAGUCUCUGCUAUAAGUGAAU
Molecule: long non-coding RNA, 479 nt
Organism: Rosa rugosa (rugosa rose)
Lineage: Eukaryota; Viridiplantae; Streptophyta; Magnoliopsida; Rosales; Rosaceae
Exons: 5
Source: RefSeq, a predicted model, not a curated record